CGGUAAUUCCAGCUCCAAUAGCGUAUACUAAAUUUGUUGCAGUUAAAAAGCUCGUAGUUGGAUUUCUGAUCGGUGUGAUGCUCCAGUUCUUUGAAUUGUGUAAAUCAUGCUGUUCAUCCUGGGAAAUCGCGGUUUGGGCAUUCAUUUGUUCAUACUGGCAAUUCCCUCGUUUACUUUGAGAAAAUUAGAGUGUUCAAAGCAGGCUUACGCUUGAAUACAUUAGCAUGGAAUAAUAUUAUAGGACUUUGGUCUUAUUUUGUUGGUUUCUAGGACCGAAGUAAUGAUUGAUAGGGACGGUUGGGGGCAUCAGUAUUUCAAAGCGAGAGGUGAAAUUCUUGGACCUUUGGAAGACUAACAACUGCGAAAGCAUUUGCCUAGGACGUUCUCUUUAAUCAAGAACGAAAGUUAAGGGAUCGAAGACGAUCAGAUACCGUCGUAGUCUUAACUAUAAACUAUGCCAGCUAGGGAUUGGGAGCUAUCUUCCUUGAUGCUUUCAGCACCUUAUGAGAAAUCAAAGCAUUUGGGUUCCGGGGGGAGUAUGGUCGCAAGGCUGAAACUUAAAGGAAUUGACGGGAGGGCACCACCAGGAGUGGAGCCUGUGGCUUAAUUUGACUCAACACGGGAAAACUUACCAGGUCCGGACGUAGUAAGGAUUGACAAACUGAAGGUCUUUCUUGAUUCUAUGGGUGGUGGUGCAUGGCCGUUCUUAGUUGGUGGAGUGAUUUGUCUGGUUAAUUCCGUUAACGAACGAGACCCCAGCCUGCUAAUUAGUGUGAGGAAUUUCUAAUUCCAUGACUCUUCUUAGAGGGACAAGUGUGUGUAUAACCACAGGAAGUUUGGGGCAAUAACAGGUCUGUGAUGCCCUUAGAUGUUCUGGGCCGCACACGGGCUACACUGCAGCUAACAACGAGCAUUCCCCUGUUCGAAAGUUCCGGGUAAUCUUUUGAGAUAGCUGCGUGAUUGGGAUAGACUAUUGCAAUUAUUAGUCUUCAACGAGGAAUUCCUAGUAAACGCAAGUCAUCAGCUUGCAUUGAUUACGUCCCUGCCCUUAGUGCACACCGCCC
This 1064-nucleotide ribosomal RNA is filed under the name uncultured Rhizaria. Its description in RNAcentral is "SSU rRNA". It matches the Rfam family "Eukaryotic small subunit ribosomal RNA", at positions 577 to 1674 of the family's 1831-position model. The record is from RNAcentral.